CGGCGUCGAGCGGCGGACGGGUGAGUAAUGCCUAGGAAAUUGCCCUGAUGUGGGGGAUAACCAUUGGAAACGAUGGCUAAUACCGCAUGAUGCCUACGGGCCAAAGAGGGGGACCUUCGGGCCUCUCGCGUCAGGAUAUGCCUAGGUGGGAUUAGCUAGUUGGUGAGGUAAGGGCUCACCAAGGCGACGAUCCCUAGCUGGUCUGAGAGGAUGAUCAGCCACACUGGAACUGAGACACGGUCCAGACUCCUACGGGAGGCAGCAGUGGGGAAUAUUGCACAAUGGGCGCAAGCCUGAUGCAGCCAUGCCGCGUGUGUGAAGAAGGCCUUCGGGUUGUAAAGCACUUUCAGUCGUGAGGAAGGUAGUGUAGUUAAUAGCUGCAUUAUUUGACGUUAGCGACAGAAGAAGCACCGGCUAACUCCGUGCCAGCAGCCGCGGUAAUACGGAGGGUGCGAGCGUUAAUCGGAAUUACUGGGCGUAAAGCGCAUGCAGGUGGUUUGUUAAGUCAGAUGUGAAAGCCCGGGGCUCAACCUCGGAAUUGCAUUUGAAACUGGCAG
This 557-nucleotide ribosomal RNA is filed under the name Vibrio parahaemolyticus. RNAcentral describes it as "bacterial SSU rRNA". It matches the Rfam family "Bacterial small subunit ribosomal RNA", at positions 86 to 639 of the family's 1533-position model. The record is from RNAcentral. RNAcentral also lists the same sequence under 1 other name. Lineage: Bacteria; Pseudomonadati; Pseudomonadota; Gammaproteobacteria; Vibrionales; Vibrionaceae.